CCAUAUAUAUAAACAAAAAUCAAACCCUAAAUCUACCAGAUGCAUGCCCUCCCUUGUCUGAACAUCUCCGUCUCUGUCCACCUUGUUUCUAUCCGAGAACUGUUGCAGCCUGUCUUUCAGUCUCCUCCUUAACGCUAAGACUACCUACCUUCUUCUAAUUCCCUCGCUUCACCAUCCCAAAACAUCUUCUAAAUAUUCCGUACAGUCUGAAUCCUAGACUGUGUUGAUUAAGGAGCAUCGUCUUCCAUGGAUAUAGAUAAAGAUUCUUUCUGACGGUGUACAUGAGAGUGCUGCAUUUACACUCUCUCAAUACACAGACCAAAAAACAGAUAAAAGGGAGCCAAAUUGGUGCAGAUAUAGAACACAAAUGGAAAGCAAAGAAGAUGAGUAUUGCAAACCAAAAAAAUAAGAGGAUUGAGAAAAGUUUACCAUCCUUCCAAGCAGCCUGAGCUACCUGCAGAUUGCUGAAGUGGCUGGGGUGCUUUCUGUGGAGGUAGGAGGGUAACCUUGGGGCGGGUAAAAGGUUGAAGAUAAGCAUCCUUGGGAUAUCCUUCCGGUGAAUAAUCUAUUCCAGAAACUCAAAAGUCCAUCAGAUCCGUUUCCAAAAAUUGGCAAAAGAUGAUUCAAUCGAAGAAGAUAACUGAAAAAAGCUUACCUUGAGGAUGCGGCACAUCGACGGGAGGCUGAAACUUGUAGUUCAUCACACAACGCGAAGCUGCGCACCAACAAUCCCGGGGACAUCUUCGUUGAUCCCAUAAAUAUGAAAUUUCUUUUUUUUUACAGUUUGUAUUUGAGUUGAAGUUGAAGUCUCUAACAUGUAUCUUGUAUAUAUAAGCGUGCAAGGUAGUGAAUUGAAUAUGCUACUCUACAAAUAGGAGUGGAUACCAAGUACCAACUUUGCAAAGACGCAAUAGGCCACUCCCCUACAAAUAUAGCCUUACACCUACUCUCUGAUUGGUCAAACACUAUGAAAAAAAAAAAAGAAAUCUAAACGCUGUGUUUUUCUUGGACGGGAAAAUGCUGAAAUCUGAUUGGCUGAA
Ipomoea nil (Japanese morning glory) is the source of this 1040-nucleotide long non-coding RNA. RefSeq lists it as uncharacterized. NCBI's taxonomy places the organism in Eukaryota, Viridiplantae, Streptophyta, Magnoliopsida, Solanales, Convolvulaceae. The record is from RefSeq and is a predicted model, not a curated record. The transcript has 3 exons.